This 75-nucleotide transfer RNA is filed under the name Sphaerodactylus townsendi. RNAcentral describes it as "tRNA-Ala". The record is from RNAcentral. Lineage: Eukaryota; Metazoa; Chordata; Lepidosauria; Squamata; Sphaerodactylidae.
UGGAAGGCCAUAGUUCAAGGGUAAAAUAUAUGCUUUGCAUGCAAGUGGUCCCAGGUUCAAUCCCUUGCCCCUGAA